AACAAACGCUGGCGGCGUGUCUUAAGCAUGCAAGUUGAGCGGCAAGGAGGAGAGAUCCUCCCUAGAGCGGCGGACUGGUGAGUAACGCGUGGGUAAUCUAUCGUAGGCAGUGGGAUAGUCACUAGAAAUAGUGGGUAAUACCGAAUACGUUCCAUGAGGGGAGUACUUAUGGAAGAAAGGGUGCUAUGGCACUGGCCUUAGGUGAGCUCGCGUCCCAUUAGCUAGUUGGUGAGGUAAAGGCCCACCAAGGCGAUGAUGGGUAGCCGGCCUGAGAGGGUGUACGGCCACACUGGGACUGAGAUACCGGCCCAGACCUCCUACGGGAGGCAGCAGCUAAGAAUAUUCCGCAAUGGACGAAAGUCUGACGGAGCGACGCCGCGUGGAUGAAGAAGGCCGAAAGGUUGUAAAGUUCUUUUGCUAGGGGAGAAUAAGCGAGGGAGGGAAUGCCCUCAUGAUGACAAGGACUAGCGAAUAAGCCCCGGCCAACUACGUG
This 493-nucleotide ribosomal RNA is filed under the name uncultured bacterium. RNAcentral's name for it is "bacterial SSU rRNA". It matches the Rfam family "Bacterial small subunit ribosomal RNA", at positions 29 to 507 of the family's 1533-position model. The record is from RNAcentral.